GGAAGUUAAUAAACUGUUUCUUAACUUUUAACUAAAAAAGCUAAGAACCGGUUCUUAAAGUCCUUAUUUAAGAACCGGUUCUUAGCUUUUUUUAGUUAAAAGUUAAGAAACAGUUUCUUAACUUCC
This 126-nucleotide microRNA precursor is filed under the name Brassica napus (rape). RNAcentral describes it as "MIR9563 microRNA precursor family". It matches the Rfam family "MIR9563 microRNA precursor family". Lineage: Eukaryota; Viridiplantae; Streptophyta; Magnoliopsida; Brassicales; Brassicaceae. The record is from Rfam by way of RNAcentral.